UCUUCCACUUUCUGUUUCCUCCAUAAUUCACCCCCUCUGCACUCAACAAGAAACGGAGACUCAAAACCUUUCUUCUCCCCAUAGUCCCGAACUGUACAGACUAUCUCAACAGCAGAGCAACCAGAAACCUCAAAAUGCAGUCUAUGCAGCUGCCGAAUCAGUGGCUGUGGGACAUGGUCGAUGAGUUUGUGUACCAGUUCAUAGCUUUUGCCAGUAUCGGGCUAAGAUGAAGAACAAGACUGAGCAGGAGAUUGCUCUUCUCAGGCAGCUCGUCUAGUAAUGAUGCCAGCCAUGUUAGUGCGAGCAUGGAUGAUAUUCAGAAGGAAUUAUCUCCUUGGUUAAACAAUUGGCGCCGGGGACAGAUGACAAUGGAGCUCAAAUUCCAUUCAUGAUGGCAAGUGAUGGGAUCAAACAGCGACGGCAGCCUGACCCAGCUGGAGCUGGGCUCACUGUUACGUUCGCUUGGGCUGAAGCCGGGACCGGAGCAGCUGGAUUUCUUGAUCCAGAAGGCAGAUACAGACGGUGAUGGGAGGAUCUGAGGACGGAGAAGGCUGCCGGCAAUCGAAAAUCUGGGUUGGGUCAGUCUGAGUUGAGUCAAAGAGCGCCGGAGAAUUGAGUCAGCUCUGUUCUGGCAGGAUUGAGACCAGUUCCGAGCUCGGCCACCAAGCAACCCAAGACUCAGCUUGCUCAAGCUCAUGGAUAAAUCGAUUUGAUCUGUCUCUGCUGAAGAUCAUCAUAACCGGCCACCGAUUUUCUUCAGACCACUUGUUGGGUGGUUGACGGUUUUUACUUACGCGAGCGAGUUUGGUGUGAUUGUGUUUUAUUGAAGACGCAACGGGAGUAUCGAGUUUUACACCAAACUUGAGCUUACUGCUAGGAGGAACUUCUGCCCAAAAGAUCCAUUAGAGCAAGUGCAGCGGUUGCUCUUGCCCGGUCAAAGAGCUCAGAUUUGCUGAGGUGUUGCCUAGUUAAAUAAAAUUUCACCUUCCACAGGCCUUUAUUUCACCGGUCAAGAUUUGGCUUUGCAUGACCAAGGGCAAAAAAAAGGGCAUGGCCAUGACAUUUUUCUUGCCCAGAGUCAAGGAGCUGCCAGCACUGCAAAAGGGAGAACGUGGGUGACAUCAGGAAGAAAAGCAAAGAGACAGACGCGGCAACAGUAAAUAUGAUGAACAGUAAAAUGGGAACAGUAAAAUUAAUCAUUGAAAUCACACUGGUGAACAGUGAAUUUACGUGAACAGUGAUUGUGGACAGUAAAAAGUGAGCAGUGUUGACUAGGCAAGAAAAACAACGGAUGUAAACCUAUGUCCAGUAGCAGUGAAUAGUAUCUUGACUGGUCGAAUUCUUGACUUCUCGACUUUGCAUUUUCUUGACUACGGGUGAACUUACUCUUAAUAAAAGCUCUCAUGUCUAGUUAAAGCUCAACUGCUAGGAGGAACUUCGGCCCAAAAUAUCCAUUAAUAAAAGUUCUCUCAUAUUCGAUGAAGGAAACAGUACUUGUGGCAUCAUUAGGGUAUCAAACGUUGUCCUCCUCAGAGCAUAUCACUCA
Molecule: long non-coding RNA, 1546 nt
Organism: Rosa chinensis
Lineage: Eukaryota; Viridiplantae; Streptophyta; Magnoliopsida; Rosales; Rosaceae
Exons: 3
Source: RefSeq, a predicted model, not a curated record